This 120-nucleotide ribosomal RNA is filed under the name uncultured bacterium. Its description in RNAcentral is "partial 16S ribosomal RNA". It matches the Rfam family "Bacterial small subunit ribosomal RNA", at positions 29 to 159 of the family's 1533-position model. The record is from RNAcentral.
AGCGAACGCUGGCGGCAGGCUUAACACAUGCAAGUCGAACGCACCUUUCGGGGUGAGUGGCAGACGGGUGAGUAACACGUGGGAACGUACCUUCCGGUUCGGGAUAACCCAGGGAAACUU